AGACAGCAGCAGCCACGGUAAUGCGUAGGUGGCAAGCGUUGUCCGGAAUUAUUGGGCGUAAAGGGCGCGCAGGCGGCUUCUUAAGUCUGUCUUAAAAGUGCGGGGCUUAACCCCGUGAUGGGAUGGAAACUGGGAAGCUCAGAGUAUCGGAGAGGAAAGCGGAAUUCCUAGUGUAGCGGUGAAAUGCGUAGAUAUUAGGAGGAACACCAGUGGCGAAAGCGGCUUUCUGGACGAAAACUGACGCUGAGGCGCGAAAGCCAGGGGAGCGAACGGGAUUAGAUACCCCCGUAGUCCCUGUCUCUUAUAC
Molecule: ribosomal RNA, 307 nt
Filed under: uncultured bacterium
Lineage: Bacteria
Description: partial 16S ribosomal RNA
Rfam family: Bacterial small subunit ribosomal RNA
Source: RNAcentral